UACGAAGGGGGCUAGCGUUGUUCGGAAUUACUGGGCGUAAAGCGCACGUAGGCGGAUCGAUCAGUCAGACGUGAAAUCCCUCGGCUUAACCGGGGAACUGCGUCUGAUACUGGAUGGCUUGAGGUUGGGAGAGGGAUGCGGAAUUCCAGGUGUAGCGGUGAAAUGCGUAGAUAUCUGGAGGAACACCGGUGGCGAAGGCGGCAUCCUGGACCAAUUCUGACGCUGAGUGAGCGAAAGCCAGGGGAGCAAACGGG
Molecule: ribosomal RNA, 254 nt
Filed under: uncultured bacterium
Lineage: Bacteria
Description: partial 16S ribosomal RNA
Rfam family: Bacterial small subunit ribosomal RNA
Source: RNAcentral